Molecule: unclassified non-coding RNA, 263 nt
Filed under: plant metagenome
Description: partial contains small subunit ribosomal RNA, internal transcribed spacer 1, and 5.8S ribosomal RNA
Source: RNAcentral
UUUCCGUAGGUGAACCUGCGGAAGGAUCAUUAUUGUAUAACCGAGGUGCGAGGGCUGUCGCUGACCCGAAAGGUCGUGCACGCCCGAGUGCCCUCACACACAUCCAACUCACCCCUAUGUGCACCACCGCGUGGGUCCCCCUUUGGCUUGUUCGGAGGGGGGCUUACGUUUUCACACAUACUUUGUAUGCAGUGUAGAAUGUAUUUUUUGUUUUUGCGAUCACGCAAUCAAUACAACUUUCAACAACGGAUCUCUUGGCUCUC